GACGAACGCUGGCGGCGUGCUUAACACAUGCAAGUCGAACGGAAAGGCCCUGCUUUUGUGGGGUGCUCGAGUGGCGAACGGGUGAGUAACACGUGAGUAACCUGCCCUUGACUUUGGGAUAACUUCAGGAAACUGGGGCUAAUACCGGAUAGGAGCUCCUGCUGCAUGGUGGGGGUUGGAAAGUUUCGGCGGUUGGGGAUGGACUCGCGGCUUAUCAGCUUGUUGGUGUGGUAGUGGCUUACCAAGGCUUUGACGGGUAGCCGGCCUGAGAGGGUGACCGGCCACGUUAGGACUGAGAUGAGACCCAGACCACUACCGGACGCGACGGAGGAGAGUAUUACACAAUAGGCGGAAGGCUGGUGCAACCACGCCGCGUGGCGGAAGACGGCAUUCCGGUUGUGAAGCGAAUUCGCCUGUGACGAAGCGUGAGUGACGGUAAUGGGUAAAGAAGCACCGGCUAACUACGUG
This 468-nucleotide ribosomal RNA is filed under the name uncultured bacterium. RNAcentral's name for it is "partial 16S ribosomal RNA". It matches the Rfam family "Bacterial small subunit ribosomal RNA", at positions 28 to 507 of the family's 1533-position model. The record is from RNAcentral.